Molecule: ribosomal RNA, 253 nt
Filed under: uncultured bacterium
Lineage: Bacteria
Description: partial 16S ribosomal RNA
Rfam family: Bacterial small subunit ribosomal RNA
Source: RNAcentral
UACAGAGGUCUCAAGCGUUGUUCGGAUUCAUUGGGCGUAAAGGGUGCGUAGGUGGCGCCGUAAGUCAGGUGUGAAAUUUCGGAGCUUAACUCCGAAACUGCAUUUGAUACUGCGGUGCUUGAGGACUGGAGAGGAGACUGGAAUUUACGGUGUAGCAGUGAAAUGCGUAGAGAUCGUAAGGAAGACCAGUGGCGAAGGCGGGUCUCUGGGCAGUUCCUGACACUGAGGCACGAAGGCCAGGGGAGCAAACGGG